AUCUAUACUAUGCCCUCAGCUUAAAAGAAAAGCGUUUUUAUAUUUCAGUUUGUGUUACUCCUUCGUAGUUAGACCUUCCUAAAAUUUUUAAUAACAUCUUUGCUUUAUAGCUUGCGAGCCUGAUAACAGGCAAUUUAUAUAUUUCAAUUUUUAGGUAAUAAUUAUGUCUACAACUACUGGUACAGUAAAAUGGUUUAACGAAACUAAAGGUUUUGGUUUUAUCGAGCAAGAAAAUGGUCCAGACCUUUUCGCACAUUUCAGCGCAAUCCAAAGCUCAGGUUUCAAAACUUUAGCUGAAGGUCAAAAAGUACAGUUUACUGUUGCUCAAGGCCAAAAAGGUCCUCAAGCUGAAAAUAUCGUUUGUAUCUAAUUUACAAAAGAUAGCUUGAAUAAAUCACCUAGUUCUCUAGGUGAUUUAUAA
This 421-nucleotide small RNA is filed under the name Catenovulum maritimum. RNAcentral describes it as "cspA thermoregulator". It matches the Rfam family "cspA thermoregulator". The record is from Rfam by way of RNAcentral. Lineage: Bacteria; Pseudomonadati; Pseudomonadota; Gammaproteobacteria; Alteromonadales; Alteromonadaceae.